CCUACGGGCGGCAGCAGUGGGGAAUAUUGCACAAUGGGGGAAACCCUGAUGCAGCAACGCCGCGUGGGUGAAGGAGCGUUUCGGCGCGUAAAGCCCUGUCAGCGGGGAAGAAGAAAGACGGUACCCGACCAAGAAGCCCCGGCUAACUACGUGCCAGCAGCCGCGGUAAUACGUAGGGGGCGAGCGUUAUCCGGAAUGACGGGGUGUAAGGGGAUCGUAGACGGGGAGGUAGGCAUGGAGUGGAAGCCCGCGGCCCAACCGCUGAACUGCCUUGGGAACUGUUUUGCUGGAGUAUGGGAGGGGUAAGAGGAAUGCGUGGUGUAGCGGUGAAAUGCGUAGAUAUCAGGAGGAACACCGGUGGCGAAGGCGGCUUACUGGACCAUAACUGACGUUGAGGCUCGAAAGCGUGGGGAGCGAACAGGAUUAGAUACCCUUGUAGUC
This 441-nucleotide ribosomal RNA is filed under the name uncultured bacterium. Its description in RNAcentral is "partial 16S ribosomal RNA". It matches the Rfam family "Bacterial small subunit ribosomal RNA", at positions 338 to 795 of the family's 1533-position model. The record is from RNAcentral.